GAUGAACGCUGGCGGUAUGCUUAACACAUGCAAGUCGAACGGACUCUUCGGAGUUAGUGGCGGACGGGUGAGUAACGCGUGAGAAUCUGGCUUUGGGUUCGGGACAACCACUGGAAACGGUGGCUAAUACCGGAUGUGCCGAGAGGUAAAAGAGAAAUUGCCUGAAGAUGAGCUCGCGUCUGAUUAGCUAGUUGGUGAGUUAAAGGCUCACCAAGGCAGCGAUCAGUAGCUGGUCUGAGAGGAUGACCAGCCACACUGGGACUGAGACACGGCCCAGACUCCUGCGGGAGGCAGCAGUGGGGAAUUUUCCGCAAUGGGCGAAAGCCUGACGGAGCAAUACCGCGUGAGGGAAGAAGGCUCUUGGGUUGUAAACCUCUUUUCUUAGGGAAGAACAAAAUGACGGUACCUAAGGAAUCAGCAUCGGCUAACUCCGUG
This 435-nucleotide ribosomal RNA is filed under the name uncultured bacterium. Its description in RNAcentral is "partial 16S ribosomal RNA". It matches the Rfam family "Bacterial small subunit ribosomal RNA", at positions 28 to 507 of the family's 1533-position model. The record is from RNAcentral.